AUUGAACGCUGGCGGCAGGCCUAACACAUGCAAGUCGAGCGAGCGGCGGACGGGUGAGUAAUGCCUGGGAAUUGCCCAGUCGAGGGGGAUAACAGUUGGAAACGACUGCUAAUACCGCAUACGAUUGGAUGUCCCAGGUGGGAUUAGCUAGUUGGUGAGGUCAUGGCUCACCAAGGCGACGAUCCCUGGCUGGUCUGAGAGGAUGAGCAGCCAAACUGGAACUGGGAGACGGUCCAAAUUCCGACGGGAGUCAGCAGUAGGGAAUAGUGCACAAUGGGGGAAACCCUGAAGCAGCCAUGCCGCGUGUGCGAAGAAGGCCUUCGGGUUGGAAAGCACUUUCAGCGAGGAGGCGUUACUCGCAGAAGAAGCACCGGCUAACUCCGUGCCAGCAGCCGCGGUAAUUC
This 404-nucleotide ribosomal RNA is filed under the name uncultured bacterium. RNAcentral describes it as "partial 16S ribosomal RNA". It matches the Rfam family "Bacterial small subunit ribosomal RNA", at positions 30 to 526 of the family's 1533-position model. The record is from RNAcentral.